GGUCCGUUCGUCUAGCUGGCCCAGGACGCUAGGUUUUCAUCCUAGAAAUCAGGGGUUCGAAUCCCCUACGGACUA
RNAcentral lists this transfer RNA (75 nucleotides) under Bacteroidota bacterium. RNAcentral describes it as "Bacteroidetes bacterium (freshwater metagenome) tRNA-Glu". It matches the Rfam family "tRNA". From Rfam's summary of the family: Transfer RNA (tRNA) molecules are approximately 80 nucleotides in length. RNAcentral also lists the same sequence under 1 other name. The record is from RNAcentral. Lineage: Bacteria; Pseudomonadati; Bacteroidota.